This 494-nucleotide ribosomal RNA is filed under the name uncultured bacterium. RNAcentral describes it as "partial 16S ribosomal RNA". It matches the Rfam family "Bacterial small subunit ribosomal RNA", at positions 28 to 507 of the family's 1533-position model. The record is from RNAcentral.
GACGAACGCUGGCGGCGUGCUUAACACAUGCAAGUCGAACGGUGAAGCGCCUUCCUUUUUGGUGGGUGUGGAUGAGUGGCGAACGGGUGAGUAACACGUGAGUAGCCUGCCCCCCUCUUCUGGAUAACCGCAUGAAAGUGUGGCUAAUACGGGAUAUUCUGGGUCUGUCGCAUGAUGGGUCUGGGAAAGAUAUUGUUUCGGUGGGGGAUGGGCUCGCGGCCUAUCAGCUUGUUGGUGGGGUGAUGGCCUACCAAGGCGGUGACGGGUAGCCGGCCUGAGAGGGUGGACGGUCACACUGGGACUGAGACACGGCCCAGACUCCUACGGGAGGCAGCAGUGGGGAAUAUUGCACAAUGGGCGCAAGCCUGAUGCAGCGACGCCGCGUGAGGGAUGGAGGCCUUCGGGUUGUGAACCUCUUUCGCCAGUGAAGCAGGCCUGCCUCGUUUGUGGGUGGGUUGACGGUAGCUGGAGAAGAAGCGCCGGCUAACUACGUG